GUAGAUGUUGGUGAUGAGAGGGAAGUGAGUAAAGCUAAAGAUGCAGAUAGCGAUGAGAAAGAAGACUAUAGUCAUAGAGUAGCAACAAGCCGGAGAAUCACAAUAAUUGAAAGUGGGUCAGAGAGAUCUGAGGACCAGCAUUAUCCUGACAAUGAGGAUGAGGAGGUUGAUCAGGCCAGAAGUCCAAGUAAAUCACCUGAUGGGGAGAAGGA
This 212-nucleotide unclassified non-coding RNA is filed under the name Hevea brasiliensis (rubber tree). The record is from RNAcentral. Lineage: Eukaryota; Viridiplantae; Streptophyta; Magnoliopsida; Malpighiales; Euphorbiaceae.